This is a long non-coding RNA of Alexandromys fortis (reed vole), 6799 nucleotides long. RefSeq lists it as uncharacterized. The record is from RefSeq and is a predicted model, not a curated record. Lineage: Eukaryota; Metazoa; Chordata; Mammalia; Rodentia; Cricetidae. The transcript has 3 exons.
UUCAGACUAGAGAAGCACAUUUCUAGGGAAGGCUGCCACCCUCAAAACCUGAGCUCUCCAAAGUACCUACUGGUUAGCUUCUAUGGUCGAAUAACAGAAAGUGGGGGAGAACUGGCUGAGCAGCCAAGAUGUCUAGGGGAGGGGAGAAAACACCACUCAGCGAGUACAUUCAGCUCUGAGCCUAGUCUCACCAAUUUCAUUUCUUGCUUAGAUGAAGUUGUUUGGAGGGAGAGAACUGAACACGAGUCAGUGGAGAGAUACAACCCGGGGGCUUCUCUCCAGGAGGCUGGGGUUAGCCUACCCUGAUUUUCCUUCCAUAAUCUUUUGAUUAAACUGGGUCAGUUUGAGUGACAGUUUUCAAGCCUCCUGUGUUUAGCAAGUCAAGCCAAGCCCAGGCGUGUUUCUCAGGAUCUGCACCUAUCAUCUUGGGACUAAAGGUCACUCAGAGCUGGGGAUGUCUCUAAGCUCUGAGGCAUAUUGGAUUUGCAGAGAUUCACGAACUGGCACUGGUAAAUUCUGCCCACAACUCCCAGGAACUGAACUGGUGGCCUGCCAUCCCAAAUGUGACAAAAAUAAGAGGGAUAGUGAUUGCCAUCUUCCGCUGAGUGUUGUGGCUUUUAGGAGGAACUCUAUACUUAUCCCAGUUCCCGUCGGGAGUUUUCUGCUCAUAUCCCCAAGGCUCAAGGCCCUUGAAGCACUUGCCAGAGUCACGUAGAAGAUCACAACAGUGAUUUUUUUUUUUUAGAGGAACAAUCCCCCCAAUCAAGCUUCUCAGCAGAGUCACCUCCUAUUGUCUCCAUUAAACUGUGCCUCCAUUAAAAUUAACAGGCUGAAGUCCUAACCUCCAAUGUGGUUAUAUUUGGAGACAGGACCUUGAAUGAGGUAGUUUAAUGAGGUCAUUUGGGCGGGGCCCUGAUCCCUCAAGACUGCUGUCCUUAUCAAAAGAGGAAGACACAGUAGGGACCUGAUGAAGUGCCCACCUACAAGCUGGGGAGAGAGACCUCACCACACACCAACUCCUCCAGCUUGACCUUGACCUUUGCCCUCCAAAACUGGAAAAAUGUCGAUUUGUUAUUGAAGGCAUUUCUGAUUGGUGAUAUUCUGUUAAGGUGGUUCAAGCAGAUUAAAUGCCUUUUUCUUAUAUUCUUUAUUGUGAUAAAUAUCCAUAAAAUUACAUUUAAUAAGCCACUUUGCAGUGUACAGUUCAGUAAAAUUACAUUUAAUAAGCCACUUUGCAGUGUACAAUUCAGUGGCUUGGGGUACAUUCAUGCUGACACCACCACUAAUGCCCAAAACGUUUUUCAUUUUUGUAACACAACUCCCAUUCUCCCUAGCCCCAGCCAUCACCAUUCUACUGUCUGUCUUAGGAUUCUUGUCUAUGCUAAGUACUUUGUGUAAGCAGACUAGUAUUCUUUUGUAUCUGACUUGGUACACUUAACAGGUUUUCAGGAUCCGUUCAUGAAAACAUGUGGCCUGGGUUUGCAUGUCAUUCCUUUUGAAGUAAUGGAGUAUUGUUUCACUGUGUGGCUGGGUCAGAAUGGGCUUAUCCGCUCAUUAGUCAGUUCACCAUUCUGGUAUUUAAAAAUACAAAGCAGAGACUGCCUCCAAUGGAUUCUCGACAAACCUUUGAAAGGUUUAUUUAUUUUAUUUUGCAUAUGCAUAUGAACACCUGGAUAUAUGUAGGCACACCCCAUGUGUGAAGGUACCAAAGUAAGACAGAGAGGGCACUGGGUUCCCCCUGGAACUAGAGUUACAGGUGACUGUAAGCCUUGUGAUGUGGGUGCUUGGGACAGAACCCAGUCCUCUGUAAGAGCAGCAAUCACUCCUGACUCCUAAGCCAUCUUCUCCAGCCCCCAGUUUGUGACAUCAUUUGAGUGGAAGGCAGACUUCUUGCAAUGGUGAUUUGUUCUGUAGACCCUGAGUGAUGCACUCUAGAAACUAAGCCAUACCGCUCCUGCUGGAGUAUCAACCAACUUCUUCAGCCCCAGGGACCCCAUAAUGACUGCUCUCCUGGCUGGGCUCUGGCCUUUCCAGAAACCCUCCCCCAUGCUUCUUUAGUCCUCUGCUGCCUCCCAUCAUGCAAUGUGGCCUCAUUUGCCUGCACAGAGCAUCUAAAUACAUUUCAAAACUAGGUAUUAAAACUAUAUGCGCUUAUGGUAUAGAGUAAUAUCUUGAUGUUGGGUUGUGUUUUCAUAGUGAAGUGGUUGCUACAAUCAAGCUAAUUACCAUGUUUUUCUCACUGCACCAUCACCUUUGUGUGUUCAGGACAUCAAAUCUCUUCCGUAGGAUACAAGACAAUGUGACUCCCCAUACUCUAUACUACUAAGUAGAUUUCCAGAACUUGCCCAUUCCCGCAAUCCACAAUGCUCCCUUGACUUGCAUUUCCCUACCAUCCAUGCUUAUCCACCAGGGUCCAGUUCUGUAGGGUAAAGACUGUGUGGUGACCAGCACUGUUUCCCCUGCACUCGGUCCAACAUAGCAGGUCCUGAGUGGAAGCUGAGAUUGUCCAGACAGUUUAGAAGCCCAAGGCACUGAGGAUGCUACCCAGCCAGCAGGUGUUUCUGCUGUCAGCAAAGCUGACCCUGGAGUCUAUACCCCCAAAUCUACCAUCCAUUCCCUGCAGGUUCUGCCCACCGUACUGUUUAAAGGCUCCAGUCUCAUUUCCUUGCCUUCCCAUGUCCAUGGGAGGAAGAAGAGAGGAGUCAUGGAGACACCAUGGAGUCGCCACCAUAGAUAGGCAUGCAGAAACUUUGCUGGUAGGCUACAACCUCGUGGUGAUGCACACAUUAAUGGAGAUAGGUUAAAUUAGUAUGUAAGAGUUAGCCAAUAAGAAGCUAGAGCUAGGGACCAAGCAGUGUUUUAAUUAAUAAAGUUUCAUGUGGUUAUUUUGGUUCUGGGCAGCAGGGAUGAAUGAGCAGCCCCCUCCUCCAACACAUCUUCCCAACCACUCCCCUGUUGGCAAAACUGCCUGCCCUCUGGCUUUUAAGCCCAUCAAUCUGAGAGCCAUCUCUUCCUUAGUUACUGUAGCUGGGGGCAGUUUGAUUGACUUCACUAUGAAAAGAGGCAGACUCUGAACCAGGGGUGGAAUGACAUGAUCUCCACUCUGCUCUCUGCUCCAUUUGGGUGAGAAGAUCAUCUCUGGAGAUAUGAAGUCAUGUGCAAAUGUUUAUGGAAGCUACAGGCACAGAAUGUUCCCUGCCCAGGUUUCCCUUUCAUCCACUGAAUAUCCAGGACCUUCUGAAAGCAUGACCUUGGAAUUCACUAGACUCCAGAUCAAAUACCACCGUCUUUAUUACACAAUAUUUGUAUUACACCAUUUGUAAUGCACAGCUUUUAUUACAUGAGGAUGUCUCAGGAACUCACUCCUCUGUUCUGUCAUCUAUACAAUGGGUACAGAGAGGCCCAUUCUGAAAGCCGGCUGAAGAAAUGUACAAAAGUAUGGAGUGCAAGGCUUGUGCCUUACUAGGGUUCAUAAUGACACUGUGUUCUUGCUUUUAUAUCUUGUUGCUGUUUGUAAGAACUAAGUUUCAUGUUGUUGUAUUACUGUCAAAUCAGGGGUUCCCUGGUCCUGGAAAAAUGACUGAUUCACCAAAAUGACAUAUGUGGGCCAGAAAUUGAUCAGAGAUUUGUCCACCGUUCGCUUUGCCUUCCCUUCCUCUACAUGGAAGCAGAGUCUCGUCCUUGGAGGGUAGAGCGGGAGAGCUAACGGUUGGUCCAAUCAGAGUGACGUUAGCAUCCAGCACCAUCCCUGUCUCCUGCACAGCCUUUAGCUAGCCUUCUUUCACUCUUUCAGCAGAGGAAGGGAACGAAGAGUAAAGCCCCCACUUGGCAUCAUCCUCCUGGGGCUCAGAGAAGCAGGUGGAAGAGUUCUGAGAGGUAAUGCUAGGUCAGUCACCUGUGGCUGGGCUAAUGUUCCCCUGGGGACUCUUUCUGCAGGAAAUAGGGAAAUCAGCCUCAACUCGUAGUAUCCUGGGCAGGGACACUCUGACAGAACAGUCUCUCUUUGCACACUGAAGGCUGGACCUGGAAGAGUGUCUGUUACUCCCUAUGGGCUUCUGCCUCCCAGGGCAGCAGGAUAUAUGUGAGACAUUGUCCCCAUGAUGAUUAUAUCUUAGACUUCAAAGCAUAACUGUCACUUGCCUCUGAGAGCCUGAACUGGCCAUGAGAGUGAGGGCAAAGCCGUAGCUGCACAGUCAAGGAGAGUUCUGCUAUCAGCCUCCUAGGUAGAGGUGAAGAAACCGAGGACACAAUGGGCAAGAUCCUGGAGCUCUGUACCCUCAAAGCAGGGCCUCUGCACGGUGGCAGAGACACAGGGACAGUGUACUCUGACUCCUCCCAAAGAUGGGAGCUCUCCAGUAGAUGGCUCUUCACACCUCAGGCUCAGCAGAACUCCUCCCUCUUCAGCAUCACCCUGUGAGCUCCCAAGUCCCAUUUUCCUGGGCUCUUUUCUCCAGGCCUACAUGUGACUCACUGAUUGAACUCAAAGCUUGUGUCAUGCCUUAGUUAUCUAAGAAUGCUCAGCAUUAAGCACAAGGUCCGGCACAGGGGUGCUCAAAGGGCAAGGAGAAGGAGGAAGAAAGAGGAGGAGGGAGAAAACAGGAAAAAGGAGAAAGGCAUUAAUUACCUCCUUCUACUUGAGUGACUGCCUGUAACCUCCACUGAACCCUUAGAAAGCCAUAGCCAAUAUUUCUCUCUUCCAACUUCACUGUUUUUCUUAGAUGUUCCUGACUGGAACUGUGAAUCAUCUUCUGUCCGUGACUUCAGUGUUAUUCCCAGAAUUACCCCUGAACUCCAGCCCUUAUCACUUCUUCCCCGUGUCUCUCCUCCCACACUGCAGCCAGACAGGAGACUGCCCAUCCAACCCUAAUAAAGAAAUCUCUUCUAGGCUUACGGACGACGUGUGUACUGCACAUAGCCUCUCAUUCACAAGUGUCUGCCAUGGAAUUAUCGCAGUGUUUACUAAAGUGAUAGUUGGAAACCAGGAGGUAGUGGCACGUGCCUUUAAUUCCAGCAACUGGGAGGCAGAGGCAGAGACAGGUGGAUCUCUGUGAGUUUGAAGCCAGCGUGGUCUACAGAGCAAGUUCCAGGACAAACUCAAAAAGCUACAGAGGAACCCUGUCUCAAACACUCCCCCCCCCCAUAAAAAAAAAAGUUGGAGAUGAUGAUCUAAACGUCAGUAAAAUAAAUAGAAGCAAAGUACAUACAUUUUCUUCAUCUACUGAUAGAACCUCUGAACAUUUACUGUGACUACACAGUACUUGGAAACGCUGGGUGAAGAGCUACAGCUAAGACUUCAAGGGCUGUAUUGAAUAAGAGAGAAGAAAGUGGAUGAUCCUGUCACAGUCUUGAUUUUGCGGAAAUGCUCUGAGGCUUUUCACAUUUAGUAUGAUGCUGGAUGUAUGUCCAUCACAUCAUAUAGCCUUCACUGUGUUGAGCAUAUUCUAUGAUGCAGUACAUCUAUUGAUCUGAAUACAUCGAAGCAAUCCUUGAUCCCCAAAAUAAAUGGAAUGUGAACAUGGUAAAUAAAUAAUCUUUUGAUGUAUCAUUGAAUUUGAUUCAUAAGAAUCUUAUUAAUAGAUUUUACUCCCAUGUUCUUCAGGUAGAUCUGUUAAUAAUUUUCCUUUUUGUUAUUUACAUAUUCAUAUGGUUAUCAGAAUAAUUGUGAUUUUUGUAAUAUGAACUUGGUGGCGUUCCCUACCAUUCUGUUUUGGGGAAUAGUUUGAAAAUAUUGGUGCUAAUUUUUUUUUAAAAGUUCUGUAGAGCUGUGAAAUGCCCCCCACCCCUCUAGGCUUGGGUUUUUUUUCCAGUUGGGAGACUAUUUUAUCACUGAUUAAAACUUGCAACUUGCUCUAAAUCUGUUGAAGGACUUUAGGUCCUCUUGGCUGGUAUUGGUGGGUUAAUCUAGAAAUGUGCUCAUUUCUUUUAGGUCUCCAGUGUUUUGGAAGAUAGAUUUCCAGAGUAGACUAAUGGGGCUCUAAGCAGCACUGGUAUUUGUUAUAACGUCACUCUCUUCCAUCUCUUUAAUUAAUUUGGGUCUCUCUCUAUUUUGGUUGGUUUAACUUGCUUAUUUGUUGAAGAACAAACUCUUUGUUUCAUGGGGUUUGUGCUGUUGUUCUCAUUUCCACUUCGUUCAUUUCUGGACCAGUGUUUCUGCCGUCUUUCCAUAUGCGUGCUUGGAGGGUUGAGCUCUUGGUCCUCUCGGAUGCUGGGAUGCGUCAUCGAGUUACUUAUCUGAGGUCUUUCUGAUUUUUUUAAAAAUUACAGCUAUAAAUUUUAUCUCAUAGGACUGUUUUCAUUGUAUCUCAUGGGUUUUGGUAUAUUACGUUUUCAUCUUCAUUUGAUUUUAAAAGCUUUGUGUUUUCUUUCCUUAUUUCUUUAACGAUCCAUUAAUUAAUUUUAAAUAGCAUCUUUUUAAGCCUCCACAGGUUGAAUAUUUUCUGUAGUUUCUCUUCCAGUUGAUUUCUUGUCUUGUUCCAUUUUGAUCAGAUAAAAUGCACAAAGUUAUUUUAACCUUCUUCUAUCUGUUAGGAAAUUCUAUGUGUCCUAAAAUAAGGUCCAUUUUAGAGAAAAUUCUGUGGGCUGCAGGAAAUAUUGUAUAUUAUGUAAUAUUUGGGUGUAAUAUUUUGUAAGUGUCUGUUAAAUUCAUUUAAUCUGUGAUGCCAUUUAACUCUGGUAGUGUUUUGUUUGUUUGUUUGUUUUCUGUCUGACCUGUCUACUCGUCAGAGUGGUUAUGGUCACCCAUAAAUAUUCUGUGGAGAUCAACCUGGGUCUUUACAACUGGUAGUGUUUGUUUUAUAAA